CUUGCUAUUCUAUCAAGGAAGAAGGAGCAGGUAAGGUUCGGGUCUUCGCGAUCCAAGGCCUGUCUUAAGAGAAGUGACCCUCGGAUACGGGUCAAACAGUAAAGUGCUUUCUCUGAGGUGAAUCCAAUAGUUUAGAUAUCCCCGCACAGAUGUUCUCGAAUGCGCCGUUCUCUUUGUUAGAAAGCCCUCUUGCUGCUUGAAAAGGAGCUCAUGACAUAAAUUGACACUAUUCAAUGUCUCGAGUAGGCCAAUUGCCUUUCUUACCUUUGCUGGUGGUUGAGUUGGAUUGGAUGAGGAUUGAUGAUUAUCAAUGAUUCUCCAGCCAUUUUUUUUACCUGGCAAGUCUAACUAGAUCUUUAUCUCUUGCUUGCUUUCAUUCUUUUC
RNAcentral lists this long non-coding RNA (384 nucleotides) under Nicotiana benthamiana. RNAcentral describes it as "long non-coding RNA (NBEN_LNC012125)". Lineage: Eukaryota; Viridiplantae; Streptophyta; Magnoliopsida; Solanales; Solanaceae. The record is from RNAcentral.